This 469-nucleotide ribosomal RNA is filed under the name uncultured Gammaproteobacteria bacterium. Its description in RNAcentral is "bacterial SSU rRNA". It matches the Rfam family "Bacterial small subunit ribosomal RNA", at positions 46 to 494 of the family's 1533-position model. Lineage: Bacteria; Pseudomonadati; Pseudomonadota; Gammaproteobacteria. The record is from RNAcentral.
GCCUAACACAUGCAAGUCGAGCGGCAGCGACAACAUUGAACCUUCGGGGGAUUUGUUGGGCGGCGAGCGGCGGACGGGUGAGUAAUGCCUGGGAAUAUGCCCUGAUGUGGGGGAUAACCAUUGGAAACGAUGGCUAAUACCGCAUAAUCUCUUCGGAGCAAAGAGGGGGACCUUCGGGCCUCUCGCGUCAGGAUUAGCCCAGGUGAGAUUAGCUUGUUGGUGAGGUAAGAGCUCACCAAGGCGACGAUCUCUAGCUGGUCUGAGAGGAUGAGCAGCCACACUGGAACUGAGACACGGUCCAGACUCCUACGGGAGGCAGCAGUGGGGAAUAUUGCACAAUGGGGGAAACCCUGAUGCAGCCAUGCCGCGUGUAUGAAGAAGGCCUUCGGGUUGUAAAGUACUUUCAGUCGUGAGGAAGGUUGAGUGGUUAAUAGCUGCUUAAUUUGACGUUAGCGACAGAAGAAGCACC